This 4271-nucleotide long non-coding RNA is filed under the name Sus scrofa (pig). RNAcentral's name for it is "lncRNA (ENSSSCG00000057225.1)". Lineage: Eukaryota; Metazoa; Chordata; Mammalia; Artiodactyla; Suidae. The record is from RNAcentral.
GCCCGGGUCCGCGCGCCCGGGCGGCCGGCGGGCACGGGCUGGCGCGAUGGAGCCGCAGCACGUGCGCCCCGCGUCCGGCGCCCGCAGCCCGGCCUGGGAGGAACCGGUGGGUACAGCGCCCGCGCCCGCCCCCUCCCACUUCUCCUCUGCUCCCCCCCGCCCGGGCCGGGUUCCGUUCAGGAAAUGGCCCGGGAUGAGGUCCCCAGCUGCUUCCCACCCGGGACAGCGCUUCCUCCGCCGCCCGGGCUCCUCCUCGCGCGCCGCCCGGAGCGCCUUUGUCCGGGCCGGCCGAGGCUCUCCCCCAGGGGCCGCGGACGAGCCACUGACCACGGCCCUCCAAGGACCGUUUUCCGUGCUUCAUCGACUUCGCAACUUUUUCCUUGAUUUCGGAGCGUGGAGGGUGGGUAGGGAGGGGGCAAAAAGAAGCCCAGACUGGGGGUCAGCGUGCAGGGCUCGGAGGAGACAGGUCUUGCCUCUUGAGACCGCGCCCUGGGCGGUCACCUGGGCGCUGCAGGUUCCUAAGGAGCCGCGCUUGGCGAGGCGGAUCGCAGCUAGAAGCCGGGAACCACGCCUCCGCCUCCUGCUCGCCGCUAAAGCCCCGGGCUUUUCUAGGGUUCGAGGGGGUUGCCAGGGAUGAAGCGGGAAGCUGACCUCGAUUUCGCUUAGGAUUUCGCUGCCCGUGAAACGCGGAGGUUGGGCAGUUUGGGGGACCGAAAGUAACGUGGGCAUGUGCAUUGUGUGUGCGCGGGUAAGGAGCAGGAGGACGGGGGAAUUGGGGGCUUGGGAUUUGUUCCCUCAAACUCCUUCAACUUCCUCUCUUCCAACUCAGAGAGUCAGAACCAUCUCACAUCCCUCCGGUGAUUCUAGCCCGAAAUCCCCGUCUCACUCAGAGCUCUGUAAUCCUGUGUGGGCUGCCUUUUCCCUGGCAUCGAAUUUUGGCUCUCUCCGCCCUGCCUCGAUGUUUGCUGUUCCGUCUUGGUUGACAUUCUUGAACCUAUUUGGAAAACCUCGUCCGAAAUUUCUGGCCUCACCAGUGUUCUGUUCAACACGUUCGGAUGCUCUUUUCCCAGGAACUCCGAGGAUCUGCUCAGGCUGGCCCCCUGCCUGUUGAGAGCUUCUAGGUCAGGUGCCAAGCUUGGUUCCCCCUUUUCUUUUCUAGUAUGUACCCUCCCAGCUCCUUUGCCAAAGUACAUUUCUCUGCCUUCUGUUUCCCGACCUUUCAGGAGUGUCCUUAAACUCGGAUCCAUCUGUAUCUGCAGCUGUCUUUGCUUUUGUCAAUUUGAACAUGUUGUUAGGUUGCCCAUCUGCUCGUAUUUCUUCUAUUGUGGUUAUUACUGGGGAUUAAGUUUAUUCUUGAAAUUAAAAAUACAGUUCAGUUUGGGAGUUUAAGUCAGCGAUAACUGAGAACUAAAUUCAGGGACCUGUUUUUGUAACUUUACUUUUGAGCUCUUUUCUAUGAAGUCCUUGUUGAACUUGGAUACUUAAAGUCAACACCAAUUGCAAUGAAAAAUACCCACUUAUAUGUAUUUCACUUGAGGGUCUUGAUGCCAGAACCACUUGGUACGUGGAAAAAUAGAGAACGGCGUUUUUAUUUUUGCUUUGCUUAAAGUUACAACAUGAAAAUGCUUGUUUAUUAGCCUUUAAAACUAGAGCCCGAAUGGAAAUGUGUUAAUGAGUUGUGACACUUUAUCCAGACUGCAGAACUCUCCAAAAAAAAAGUGAGGUUUAUAUUCUGUACAUACCGGAAGGCCUUUUAAUUUAUUCAGCAGGUAUUUCAUAUAGCACCUACUAUGUUCCAGGACUGUUGGCUAUAGCAUUUAACAAUACAGGCACAAAUCCUUAAGUCCUCACUGAGUGUUCAUUCUUAAGUAAACAGAAUGUCUUGUGUCAGAGAUGUGAAUAGUUUAACUUCGGAGACCAGACAAAACAAAACAAAGCAAAAACCUUUCUUGAUCUUAGGUAUGUGGCAUAAAAUGCUACUUUUGACAAAGUGAUUGUAUUUGAAACCCUGUGGCCGCAUGUCCGACCCACAGUAAAAGAUAAGUUAUCUAAAUUACUGAAAAAUGGUGUGUACAAGAGAAAAGAAUGGGUAAGGGAGGGGAAAUAGGGGAUUUAAGUGUUAAUUAUUUCAGACGUGUGGAGGAGUUAAGAGAGGAAAAAUCAGCUUCAUCUAAGUAUGUUUGUGGGACAGUUUUCCUUUCAAAACAAGUUUCAUCAAAAUCAGGGAUUCUUGAACUUCUAUUGGAUCAGUGAUCCCUUUAAGAAUCAAAUCAAAGCUAUGGACACUUUUUCUCUUUCUCCCCCAAAGGUACCUAUGUGAAAUACACAUAAAAAUUUAAUAACCUUUCAAGGGAAUCACAGAGUUCCCAUAGCCCAGUCUAUGGACCCUCAAAGACCUUGGAUUAAGAACAUCUGUUUUUCAGGAGUGGCAUAUAAGGCAAUGUCAGGUUCAGUCCUGCGGCUCAGGUUCAGUCCCUGGCCUGGGAACUUCCGCAUGCAGCCAAAAAACAAAAAACAAAAAAAAAACAAACACCUGCUUUGAUCUGGACUCCAUUUUGCAGUCAUUUAAAAUGUGGUCUUUGAAUUCAAAUUUAGGCAACUUUAAUACUUUACUGUGAAAGUAUGCUCAUUUACAUUUAUGAAAAGGAAUUUUCAAUAUUGACCAGGCAAUAUUCAUAUCACACAGAUCCUGUUGUGCUAUCCCUUACUGUAUACAACAGCAUACAUGGAUGAAUUUAAUUCCUUAUUCUUUAUUGCUGGACCCCCAAACAUGUGGUUCUACAUGGAACUAUUCAGACAGAAGAGCAAACACAGUAGUAUCAGGAACUGAUGCUGAGGAAUAGUAUAAAGAGAAUGGCACCUCUAGAUUGAAAUGUACCCGGGUCUGGAGCUGAGAGGCAGCUGCUAGACGUCAUGCCAUUCUUUGUAUUUGGAGAUGAAAUGAGGUUAUUUAGUUAAGUGUGGGUAUUUAAAUAAACUGUUAGCCUGUCAUUACUCCAGCAAGGGCACGGGGCCUAUAAGACAAUACAUGGUAGCAGUCAGGUGUCUGUGUAUUUUCUUUAAUGCUAGUUUCAGAAUGUAAUCAAAUCAGUGGACAUAGAGGCACUACCUACAUGUCUAAUUAAUUAAAAACUAUUUUGGUGGUGGGAAUAGGUAGGUAGGGAGAUAGUAAGCUGAGCAGCCCUUACUUGUAGAUAAUAUCCUAGAGUAUUAGAAGAGUUACUCUUAGGUAUAUCCUGGGCUAGAAGGUAGUUCGAAUUCUAGCCAGAACUAAAAAGAGUAUGGAAGUGUUUUUAAAGUAGUUCUGAAACAGUAGAGCGAUACUCGAGUGCAUUUUACUUUCUAAAAUUUUUUCUUUUCCCAAAUGAUUUUUAUCUAGUUGGCUCUGAUGAAACAAUUCAGAACUACUUGAAAAAUUAGGAAGGGAAGCGUUUCAAAGGAACAAAGGGCUAAAAUAGAAAUGAGAGGUUAUGAGUGUAUUUAUGUUGAGCUCUAGAGGACCAACGAUUUUUGCCUUAGGUGCAGGGCUGACCUUAUUUAGGUACAUGUGGUCGAUGUCACAAUUAAUUUUGAAGUCUUUUUUUGUUGCGGUCACACCUAAGGGAAUUUUAAUAAAAUUUCGAAUGUUAAAUUCUAAGCAUAGAGUAGAUAGCAUGUUAUGGAAGUCAUUUGAAAGUUUAAAUGAAAGCAGAUCUGUACCUGUUCAACCUGCAGGGUUCUUUGCAUGGUUCCCGUGGAGUAGGAACAUGAGUCCCCAGACUUGUUUUUAAAGUGUCUAAGUAUUUGAGUUGAUCCAAAUAUAAAUGUAGACUUCUUCAUGUUUAUAAUAUAUUUAACAUAAAACCAUAGAAUAUAUGGGAUUUAAAAGUUGCAAAUGGCUAUUAACCUCUUUUGUUAGGAGUAGUGAUCAAUAAGAAUGUAAUUCAAAAUAUCUCUACAGAUAUAUUAAUAUCUAAUGUCAAUAUUCAUAAAGUUGUAUCCAAAAUGAAAAUUGGCUAUGACCUAUACAUCUUCAGUAUAAUAGGUUUUUUUCUUUCUUUUUUUUUUUUUUUAAAUGGGGCAGAAAGCCCUAUACAGUAAAAACCUAAAUCUCAUUCAGUUGUGGCUUCUAUUUCCAUUUCUUUCUGAAUGUAGUGUCUAUGUGGCUUAUGUCCAAGUUUUUAAUAGUGUGUUUGUGAUAUGAUAUGUCCCAAACAAUGACUUCAAAGCAAUAAUGAUGAAAUAUGGAAGACACAUCUAAGAAAUUAUUUCAAAAUCUGAAAACAUCAAGU